UUUGAAGUCUGGUCUGGUACCAUAUUGAAUGAUGGUUGAACUUUCGGGAUUGUUUUGAGUCAAAUCUUUGUCUUCCACAGGUCCAUAACUAGGAGUAGAUUCAACCUUUAUCCUGUCGAUAUCUUCAUCUUUGUCAUUCGCAGAAGCUUUUUUAUCCCAGAGAUGCCAUAAACCGAUCACAAGACCACCAAAGAUAACAACACUCAUGACCAUGCAUGCAAUGAAAAGAAGGCCUAGGUACCACCAGGUAGAUACAUUGUAUGGCUUUAUGUAGAAAAUCUGUAACAGUGCCAUUAACACGAUAAAUCCGACUGUUGAUAUAAUAACGUAUAGGCCAGACCAUACGUUGUUUCCAGUGCCAACCAACGGCGACAUGCUGCGGCCCGAGAAAGGGCAGGAAGAGCUCGAUGCCACAUGAACCUUCCCUUCUUCCUGCAGGUAACAUCAAUGGCAGAUGAAAUUUAAGAAAAUGGUAAUGGUUAUGUUUGAAAGCAAAGGAGGAGUUGAGCAUAAACUGGACAUACCAUUGAAGGUCCGGAUUCUCGAGUGACAUAAAUAUCAAUCUCGAGAUUUAUUUUGUUGGAGAAAAAUGGGCAAAUUGAUUCCAUGUCGAUACUUGAAAGAAGCGGAAGUUCAUCCGACUUUUUAACGGCCCAAACAACCAAAAUCUUUCUUGGUAGACAUGGUUUUCCAUCACUAACGCGAUGGAGGAUAUCACUUAAGAUCGCUAAGAA
Molecule: long non-coding RNA, 734 nt
Filed under: Gossypium barbadense (sea-island cotton)
Lineage: Eukaryota; Viridiplantae; Streptophyta; Magnoliopsida; Malvales; Malvaceae
Description: long non-coding RNA (GBAR_LNC009685)
Source: RNAcentral